RNAcentral lists this unclassified non-coding RNA (242 nucleotides) under Hevea brasiliensis (rubber tree). The record is from RNAcentral. Lineage: Eukaryota; Viridiplantae; Streptophyta; Magnoliopsida; Malpighiales; Euphorbiaceae.
CAUUUAGAUACAGAUCAGAAUUCAGCCAUAGUGGUCAUGAAAGAGGAAAUGUGAGAGCUCCAAAGAGUUUGAUUGAAGAUGAAGCCGAACUCAGUGACUGGGUCAAUGAUUUGAGAACCAGUUCUUUCCUUCGUGAACAACUCGCUAGCGAAGACGAGUCAGAUUAUGGUAUAGCUCGUAAUAGAGGUAAGAGUGGCACAGAUAGGGAUAGGAAUUGGAACGGAGGUAGUAGUAGAGGAAGG